ACGUCACCACGCGGCAGCGUCCCCGCAGGACCGCAACUAAGCCUGUUGUAUCACGGGACACGCAUGGCUACUCUCUGGUCUUAGAGCGUCGGUGCGGACUUUCCUUCGGUACUCUAUGCACCUGUUCCUCCCGCCUGCUCAAACUUCUUUCCUAUUUAUGAAGAGGGGGGCGUCCCCAUCUCCCGGAAGGAAGGAGAUGCGAGAGGACGGCGCCAGUUUAGGUGCAGCUAAAGAACAAGAGAAAUUGGUAGGGAAAUGGAAAGACAAAAGUUCUGAUGAUUUGCCCUUAAUUUCACCAAGUUAAGUCAACUUCAAGAGGCCUCUAGUCAGAAAGUCUAACAUGGAUCCGUGGGGUCUUACUCCAUGCAUUUAUUCAAGGAACCUGGCAUCUUCUGCUUAGUGCUCUACCACCUUCAGGGCAGGUGAAGGAUCUGGAAGCAGGCAGUCAAGAGGUGCAGAGACCACUGGGACGCGGCAGUUUCCUUCGUGUACGCGUAUGCUGCAGUAUGCCUGCUGUCACGUUCAGCGAGCUGCGAACGCUGCAAGUCUGCCGGGGUGUUUUUGUUUUGUUUUGUUUUUUAACAUCUUUAUUGGAGUAUAAUUGCUUUACAAUGUUGUGUUAGUUUCUGCUGUAUAACAAAGUGAAUCAGCUAUGUGCAUACAUAUAUCCCCAUAUCCCCUCCCUCUUGCAUCUCCCUGCCACCCUCCUUAUCCCACCCCUCUAGGUGGUCACAAAGCACCGAGCUGAUCUCCCUGUGCUAUGUGGCUGCUUC
Non-coding RNA from Kogia breviceps (pygmy sperm whale), 773 nucleotides. NCBI's taxonomy places the organism in Eukaryota, Metazoa, Chordata, Mammalia, Artiodactyla, Physeteridae. The record is from RefSeq and is a predicted model, not a curated record.